GAUGAACGCUAGCGAUAGGCCUAACACAUGCAAGUCGAGGGGCAUCACGGGUAGCAAUACCUGGUGGCGACCGGCAGACGGGUGAGUAACGCGUAUGUAACCUACCCUGUACAGGGGGAUAACCCGGAGAAAUUCGGACUAAUAUCCCAUAAUGAUAUCUGGGGGCAUCUUCGGAUAUUUAAAGUUCCGGCGGUACAGGAUGGGCAUGCGUAACAUUAGCUAGUUGGCGGGGUAACGGCCCACCAAGGCAACGAUGGAUAGGGGAACUGAGAGGUUUAUCCCCCACACUGGUACUGAGACACGGACCAGACUCCUACGGGAGGCAGCAGUGAGGAAUAUUGGUCAAUGGACGCAAGUCUGAACCAGCCACGUCGCGUGAAGGAAGACGGCCCUACGGGUUGUAAACUUCUUUUAUACGGGAAUAAAGUGCCCCACGCGUGGGGUUUUGCAUGUACCGUAUGAAUAAGGAUCGGCUAACUCCGUG
This 484-nucleotide ribosomal RNA is filed under the name uncultured bacterium. RNAcentral's name for it is "bacterial SSU rRNA". It matches the Rfam family "Bacterial small subunit ribosomal RNA", at positions 28 to 507 of the family's 1533-position model. The record is from RNAcentral.